AUACACAACUUCAUAACAGUGGCAAACCAUUUCCAAUGAUACUUAAAGUGAGACGACAGCGGGAAUUUCCUGGAUGCACACUCUACAACCGAUAAGGAGACUCGAAUCGAAACCGUAAAAACCAUACGAGAAAACAAUCAAACGCAGCGAUUGUUUAUAUUUUAUUCAAUAAUUUUAAAUGUACUCUGUUGUAUAUGUUAACUGCAAACUCGACACCUCAGAUAAAUUCAUAAAUAUCAUUCUUGUACGUACAAGACGAUUAGAUCGCCUGGCCAGCGAUAUGCAAUUCUAUCAAACAAUCUACGACCAAACUUUGUAAACUUUAGCGUAAGACAUCACGAUACACUUACUCGAAUAAGAAUAUUAUUGAUCGGUACCCUCUCAACGGGGGGAGUAUGUACGAUCGGAAUCGAUCAUAGCCGAAAAUCGAUUGUAACCAAAAUACGAGAUUACUAUGCGCACACUAAAUCGAUAGAGAGUUACUAGUAACUAGCAGCUAUAACCCCCACCACUCGACCGUCGAGUGAGGGCGCCCUGCAGGGCACAAUACGAAAAACACGCAUUCUAUUCAACCGCUGGACGCCCACGAGGGCACAACACACAAAGACACGCUCUAUUCAACCGCUGGACGCCCACGAGGGCACAACACACAAAGACACGCUCUAUUCAACCGCUGGACGCCCACGAGGGCACAACACACAAAGACACGCUCUAUUCAACCGCUGGACGCCUACGAGGGCACAAUACGAAAGAGCGAGAGGAGUAUAGAAAGACAAGGAGUUU
This 783-nucleotide unclassified non-coding RNA is filed under the name Polistes fuscatus (common paper wasp). RNAcentral describes it as "uncharacterized LOC122525119, transcript variant X2". The record is from RNAcentral. Lineage: Eukaryota; Metazoa; Arthropoda; Insecta; Hymenoptera; Vespidae.